UACGUAGGGGGCAAGCGUUGUCCGGAUUUAUUGGGCGUAAAGAGCGUGUAGGCGGCCAGGUAGGUCGGUUGUGAAAACUCGAGGCUCAACCUCGAGAUGUCGACCGAAACCAUCUGGCUAGAGUCCGGAAGAGGAGAAUGGAAUUCCCGGUGUAGCGGUGAAAUGCGCAGAUAUCGGGAGGAACACCUAUGGCGAAGGCAGCUCGCUGGGACGUUACUGACGCUGAGACGCGAAAGCGUGGGGAGCAAACAGG
Molecule: ribosomal RNA, 253 nt
Filed under: uncultured bacterium
Lineage: Bacteria
Description: partial 16S ribosomal RNA
Rfam family: Bacterial small subunit ribosomal RNA
Source: RNAcentral